This 114-nucleotide ribosomal RNA is filed under the name uncultured bacterium. RNAcentral describes it as "partial 16S ribosomal RNA". The record is from RNAcentral.
CGCAGCGACGUCGCGUGGGGGAAGGAACGGCGUUUCGGGUUAGUAAACCCCCUUUUAUUCGAGGAAGGAAACAAAUGACGGUACUCGAUGAAUAAGCCCCGGCUAACUCCGUGC